GUAAUUUUGGAAUUUACUAAACAACAGAAAGAAGAAGAUACAAUUCAAGUAUUUAAUGUUACUCAGUUAGGAACAGAGGCCACAGUGAGAACUUUCGACCUAACUGUGGUGUCUAAUUUAAAGAAGAUCAGCUUGGAUUACCAUGAAAUUCAAGGCUGAUAAGAGUGGACCUAGUUUUCAAACCACUUUUGAAAAAACUGAACAGACAUUUAAGGUGGCCUUUUCCUCUUUGAACUUGUUGCUGCAAACCCAAGCUCUUCUCUCUUCUAUUAACUACCUGACAACCAUCCUUCCCUCAGAUGGCCUUGGAGGCCAUCCUGACCCAGGGACAGGCCAGCUUCCAGAUAGGUGUUACAAGCCAAGAGCCCAGAUUUCAGAAAGGAAAGUGCUCAGUUCAGAGUCUGACCUUCCUACUUAAACUAUGUGGCUGUAGGUGCAUUGUUUAGCUAUUCAGAAUUUUAUUGUCCUUAUUUACUUUGUUUUACAGAACGUCACCAACUUACUGACAUUCAGACUGAACUAUAAGAUGCAUUUUGUUGGCUUACGAACAAAUCUGGAAUAGAAUUUGUUCAUAGUCGGGGACUGACUCUUCUUUUUAAAUUGCAAAAGGAACGUCUACUAAAAAGCCUAG
Molecule: long non-coding RNA, 631 nt
Filed under: Cavia porcellus (domestic guinea pig)
Lineage: Eukaryota; Metazoa; Chordata; Mammalia; Rodentia; Caviidae
Description: lncRNA (ENSCPOG00000035598.1)
Source: RNAcentral